AGACAUAGCAUUCAUGAAUGAUAUAAGGGAAAGCUUUCGUAACAGGAUUAGGCCACCUCUAUUAUUCAUAAAAGAAGAAAUGUUGAUGUAAAGCACAAUUUUAUAAAUUUACUUCAUAAAGUUCACAAAAUGAUUAUGUGUAUAUUUCUUGAUAAAUUUACUUUUUUUACAUGAAUUUUUUCUUAUCAGUAUAAAGUCUUGCUUUUAAACAGAAUUGAAGCAUGGUCAUACAGAUUGAAGUGCAGAUUUAAACUAAAAAUGAAACUACAGAGAAGCCGCUUGAGUUGUUGAAUUCAAUUUAAUUAAAAAAAUUAUAUACAAAGAUUUUGUAAUUCGGUUUCUCUCCCUCUUUUGCAAGAAAGGGAGAUGUUUAGAAGCUCAGAAGAUCGUAUUGUGCAAAAUGCCUCUACUAAUCUAUGUUAGUCUCCUAAAGUGUGAGAUUUAAGGUGAAUUCAAGCAUGAAGUUAUACGUUGGAAGACAUCUUCGGUGCAAGGAAUUGUGAGGCCACCCAUUGGAUGAUCAUAUCCAAACUCUUCCUCAGCUUGACUCAACAACUCCUGGAAUGAAGGUUGGUUCAAGUAUGAUACGGGAAUCACAAACCGCUUCAUUUUCUCUCCAACAUAGACUGCAAGAUGGCCCUUUUGUGCAUCCACUGCUUUAGAAGAUGCUUGAUUUGCUGCGAAUAAGGCCUUUCUGAUAACAGGUAAACGAAAACCCAUUGUUGUAUUGAUUUCAGAAGAUAACGGAUUUAAGAGAAGUCUUGGGAAAUUUGAAUGCUUUCGGAUGUGAAUGAUUUGUAUUGAUCCUAAAUGCUUGAAUAAGUGAAUAUAUAUACAGAUAAAAGAUUAUGCAAAAAGUAUGAAUUGGUUACUUGAAUUAUUGGUGAAGGAGGGAAAUAAAAUAGGACUCAUGGGACCAAAUGAGAGACAUGGCAUGUGGUGUUGUCUUUGAGGACUUUUCUUAAUAAUCAACGUAUCAUGUUAGCAUGUACAUAGUAGAAAUGACCCACCUUUUGGAUCUACGAAAAAGAAGUGUAAUUUGAUCUUAUCGACACUAGCUUAUUCAGGGUGGUGGGUUAUUCAAAUAUCAUGCUGUGUUUCUUAGAAUUUAAUGUACAUCAAAUGUGAUUCAUAAUGCCUUGUGAUAUGGACAAUUAUUCAGCGUUGGUUCUCUUAUUAUCACAGUGGAGCUAUGAGGUAUAGGACAGAGCCAAACCUUA
RNAcentral lists this long non-coding RNA (1220 nucleotides) under Phaseolus vulgaris (common bean). RNAcentral's name for it is "long non-coding RNA (PVUL_LNC000279)". The record is from RNAcentral. Lineage: Eukaryota; Viridiplantae; Streptophyta; Magnoliopsida; Fabales; Fabaceae.